Molecule: transfer RNA, 72 nt
Filed under: Bos taurus (domestic cattle)
Lineage: Eukaryota; Metazoa; Chordata; Mammalia; Artiodactyla; Bovidae
Also listed under: 1 other name
Rfam family: tRNA
About the family: Transfer RNA (tRNA) molecules are approximately 80 nucleotides in length.
Source: Rfam by way of RNAcentral
UCCCCGGUGGCUCAGAUGGUAAAGCAUCUGCCUGCAAUGCAGGAGACCCAGGUUUGAUUCCUGGGUUGGGAA